UAACACAUGCAAGUCGAACGAUGAAGGGGAGCUUGCUCCUUGGAUUAGUGGCGAACGGGUGAGUAACACGUGAGUAACCUGCCCUGGACUCUGGGAUAACCCCGAGAAAUCGGAGCUAAUACCGGAUAGGACCUUGGAUCGCAUGAUCUGGGGUGGAAAGUUUUUUCGGUCUGGGAUGGACUCGCGGCCUAUCAGCUUGUUGGUGAGGUAAUGGCUCACCAAGGCGUCGACGGGUAGCCGGCCUGAGAGGGUGACCGGCCACACUGGGACUGAGACACGGCCCAGACUCCUACGGGAGGCAGCAGUGGGGAAUAUUGCACAAUGGGCGCAAGCCUGAUGCAGCAACGCCGCGUGCGGGAUGACGGCCUUCGGGUUGUAAACCGCUUUUAGUAAGGAAGAAGGGGAGCUUGCUCCUUGACGGUACUUGCAGAAAAAGGACCGGCUAACUACGUGCCAGCAGCCGCGGUAAUACGUAGGGUCCGAGCGUUGUCCGGAAUUAUU
This 501-nucleotide ribosomal RNA is filed under the name earthworm cast bacterium NC14. RNAcentral's name for it is "bacterial SSU rRNA". It matches the Rfam family "Bacterial small subunit ribosomal RNA", at positions 49 to 555 of the family's 1533-position model. The record is from RNAcentral.